CGGUUUUUUAGGUCUGAAGGGAAAGCCUUCGGCUUAACCGGAGAAGGGCAUCGGAAACCGGGAGACUUGAGUGCAGAAGAGGACAGUGGAACUCCAUGUGUAGCGGUGAAAUGCGUAGAUAUAUGGAAGAACACCAGUGGCGAAGGCGGCUGUCUGGUCUGUAACUGACGCUGAGGCUCGAAAGCAUGGGUAGCGAACAGGAUUAGAUACCCUGGUAGUCCAUGCCGUAAACGAUGAGUGCUAAGUGUUGGAGGGUUUCCGCCCUUCAGUGCUGCAGCUAACGCAUUAAGCACUCCGCCUGGGGAGUACGACCGCAAGGUUGAAACUCAAAGGAAUUGACGGGGGCCCGCACAAGCGGUGGAGCAUGUGGUUUAAUUCGAUGCUACGCGAAGAACCUUACCAGGUCUUGACAUCUUCUGCUAACCUAAGAGAUUAGGCGUUCCCUUCGGGGACGGAAUGACAGGUGGUGCAUGGUUGUCGUCAGCUCGUGUCGUGAGAUGUUGGGUUAAGUCCCGCAACGAGCGCAACCCUUAUUGUCAGUUGCCAGCAUUUAGUUGGGCACUCUGGCGAGACUGCCGGUGACAAACCGGAGGAAGGUGGGGAUGACGUCAAAUCAUCAUGCCCCUUAUGACCUGGGCUACACACGUGCUACAAUGGACGGUACAACGAGUCGCGAAACCGCGAGGUCAAGCUAAUCUCUUAAAGCCGUUCUCAGUUCGGAUUGCAGGCUGCAACUCGCCUGCAUGAAGUUGGAAUCGCUAGUAAUCGUGGAUCAGCAUGCCACGGUGAAUACGUUCCCGGGCCUUGUACACACCGCCCGUCACACCAUGAGAGUUUGUAACACCCAAAGCCGGUGAGGUAACCUUCGGGAACCAGCCGUCUAAGGUGGGACAGAUGAUUAGGGUGAAGUCGUAACAAGGUAGCCGUAGGAGAACCUGCGGCUGGAUCACCUCCUUUCUAA
Molecule: ribosomal RNA, 961 nt
Filed under: uncultured bacterium
Lineage: Bacteria
Description: bacterial SSU rRNA
Rfam family: Bacterial small subunit ribosomal RNA
Source: RNAcentral